RNAcentral lists this ribosomal RNA (587 nucleotides) under Ophiocordyceps caloceroides. Its description in RNAcentral is "SSU rRNA". It matches the Rfam family "Eukaryotic small subunit ribosomal RNA", at positions 570 to 1162 of the family's 1831-position model. The record is from RNAcentral. Lineage: Eukaryota; Fungi; Ascomycota; Sordariomycetes; Hypocreales; Ophiocordycipitaceae.
GCAGCCGCGGUAAUUCCAGCUCCAAUAGCGUAUAUUAAAGUUGUUGUGGUUAAAAAGCUCGUAGUUGAACCUUGGGCCUGGCUGGCCGGUCCGCCUCACCGCGUGUACUGGUCCGGCCGGGCCUUUCCCUCUGUGGAACCUCAUGCCCUUCACUGGGUGUGGCGGGGAAACAGGACUUUUACUUUGAAAAAAUUAGAGUGCUCCAGGCAGGCCUAUGCUCGAAUACAUUAGCAUGGAAUAAUGAAAUAGGACGUGUGGUUCUAUUUUGUUGGUUUCUAGGACCGCCGUAAUGAUUAAUAGGGACAGUCGGGGGCAUCAGUAUUCAAUUGUCAGAGGUGAAAUUCUUGGAUUUAUUGAAGACUAACUACUGCGAAAGCAUUUGCCAAGGAUGUUUUCAUUAAUCAGGAACGAAAGUUAGGGGAUCGAAGACGAUCAGAUACCGUCGUAGUCUUAACCAUAAACUAUGCCGACUAGGGAUCGGACGAUGUUAUUUUUUGACGCGUUCGGCACCUUACGAGAAAUCAAAGUGCUUGGGCUCCAGGGGGAGUAUGGUCGCAAGGCUGAAACUUAAAGGAAUUGGACGGAAG